UACAGAGACUGCAAGCGUUAUUCGGAUUCACUGGGCGUAAAGGGUGCGCAGGCGGCCGUGUGUGUGAGGCGUGAAAGCCCGGGGCUUAACCCCGGAAUUGCACCUCAAACUACACGGCUAGAGCAUUGGAGAGGGUAGCAGAAUUCACGGUGUAGCAGUGAAAUGCGUAGAUAUCGUGAGGAAUACCAGAGGCGAAGGCGGCUACCUGGACAAUUGCUGACGCUCAGGCACGAAAGCGUGGGGAGCGAACAGG
RNAcentral lists this ribosomal RNA (253 nucleotides) under uncultured bacterium. Its description in RNAcentral is "partial 16S ribosomal RNA". It matches the Rfam family "Bacterial small subunit ribosomal RNA", at positions 524 to 776 of the family's 1533-position model. The record is from RNAcentral.